Molecule: non-coding RNA, 76 nt
Filed under: Evansella cellulosilytica
Lineage: Bacteria; Bacillati; Bacillota; Bacilli; Caryophanales; Bacillaceae
Also listed under: 1 other name
Description: Bacillus cellulosilyticus Glycine sequence
Rfam family: Glycine riboswitch aptamer
About the family: This family represents the bacterial glycine riboswitch. Glycine riboswitches usually consist of two metabolite-binding aptamers domains with similar structures in tandem.
Source: RNAcentral
GGAGCAGCUUCUGGAGAGUUCGUUUUAACGGCGCCGAAGGAUUCACAAUCUCAGGCAAAAGGACAGGAGAGUAACA